AGUCUUUCUUGGAACGCUCUUGCU
RNAcentral lists this non-coding RNA (24 nucleotides) under Arabidopsis thaliana (thale cress). The record is from RNAcentral. Lineage: Eukaryota; Viridiplantae; Streptophyta; Magnoliopsida; Brassicales; Brassicaceae.